RNAcentral lists this ribosomal RNA (855 nucleotides) under Enterobacter ludwigii. RNAcentral's name for it is "bacterial SSU rRNA". It matches the Rfam family "Bacterial small subunit ribosomal RNA", at positions 26 to 871 of the family's 1533-position model. The record is from RNAcentral. Lineage: Bacteria; Pseudomonadati; Pseudomonadota; Gammaproteobacteria; Enterobacterales; Enterobacteriaceae.
AGAUGAACGCUGGCGGCAGGCCUAACACAUGCAAGUCGAGCGGCAGCGGACAGUAGCUUGCUACUUUGCCGGCGAGCGGCGGACGGGUGAGUAAUGUCUGGGAAACUGCCUGAUGGAGGGGGAUAACUACUGGAAACGGUAGCUAAUACCGCAUAACGUCGCAAGACCAAAGAGGGGGACCUUCGGGCCUCUUGCCAUCAGAUGUGCCCAGAUGGGAUUAGCUAGUAGGUGGGGUAACGGCUCACCUAGGCGACGAUCCCUAGCUGGUCUGAGAGGAUGACCAGCCACACUGGAACUGAGACACGGUCCAGACUCCUACGGGAGGCAGCAGUGGGGAAUAUUGCACAAUGGGCGCAAGCCUGAUGCAGCCAUGCCGCGUGUAUGAAGAAGGCCUUCGGGUUGUAAAGUACUUUCAGCGGGGAGGAAGGUGUUGUGGUUAAUAACCACAGCAAUUGACGUUACCCGCAGAAGAAGCACCGGCUAACUCCGUGCCAGCAGCCGCGGUAAUACGGAGGGUGCAAGCGUUAAUCGGAAUUACUGGGCGUAAAGCGCACGCAGGCGGUCUGUCAAGUCGGAUGUGAAAUCCCCGGGCUCAACCUGGGAACUGCAUUCGAAACUGGCAGGCUAGAGUCUUGUAGAGGGGGGUAGAAUUCCAGGUGUAGCGGUGAAAUGCGUAGAGAUCUGGAGGAAUACCGGUGGCGAAGGCGGCCCCCUGGACAAAGACUGACGCUCAGGUGCGAAAGCGUGGGGAGCAAACAGGGUUAGAUACCCUGGUAGUCCACGCCGUAAACGAUGUCAAAGGGGAGGUUGUGCCCUUGAGGCGUGGCUCACGGAGCUAACGCGUUAAUUCGUCCG